Molecule: ribosomal RNA, 958 nt
Filed under: uncultured marine bacterium
Lineage: Bacteria
Description: bacterial SSU rRNA
Rfam family: Bacterial small subunit ribosomal RNA
Source: RNAcentral
AUGCAUGCAAGUCGAGCGAAGCUUUUCAGUAGUUUACUACAGAAAAUGACUGAGCGGCGAACGGGUGAGUAACGCGUGAGCAACCUACCUUAGUUACUGGGAUAGCCCGAGGAAACUCGGAUUAAUACCGGAUAUUCUUAUUUAAUCACAUGAUUUUUUAAGGAAAGGUCAGCCGAACUAAGAUGGGCUCGCGUUCUAUCAGCUAGUUGGUAGGGUAAUGGCCUACCAAGGCUACGACGGAUAGCUGGUCUGAGAGGACGAUCAGCCACACUGGGACUGAGACACGGCCCAGACUCCUACGGGAGGCUGCAGCAGGGAAUAUUGCGCAAUGAGCGAAAGCUUGACGCAGCGACACCGCGUGUGGGAUGACGGAUCUAGGUUUGUAAACCACUUUCAGGAGGGAAGAAAAUGACGGUACCUCCACAAGAAGCCCCGGCCAACUACGUGCCAGCAGCCGCGGUAAUACGUAGGGGGCGAGCGUUGUCCGGAUUUAUUGGGCGUAAAGAGCUCGUAGGCGGUUCAACAAGUCGGUCGUGAAAGUUCAGGGCUCAACCCUGAAAUGUCGAUCGAUACUGUUGUGACUAGGAUACGGUAGAGGUGAGUGGAAUUCCGAGUGUAGCGGUGAAAUGCGUAGAUAUUCGGAGGAACACCAAUUGCGAAGGCAGCUCACUGGGCCGCUAUCGACGCUGAGGAGCGAAAGCUAGGGGAGCAAACAGGAUUAGAUACCCUGGUAGUCCUAGCUGUAAACGAUGGAUACUAGACGUAGGAAUUGGUCUAACGAUUUCUGUGUCGUAGCUAACGCGUUAAGUAUCCCGCCUGGGGAGUACGGUCGCAAGACUAAAACUCAAAGGAAUUGACGGGACCCCGCACAAGCGGCGGAGCAUGCGGCUUAUUUCGAUGAUACCCGUAGAACCUUACCUGGACUUGACAUAUAGGGAAAAGUUAUAGAAAUAUAAUG